UCAGCAGACGCACGCUUCGAGAACACAGCUCAGCGAACACGCCGACACCCCCCACCCAGUCGCUUUCUCAGCGCUUGGCUGUUUCUGAAACCGGCGUGGCUGCUCUCGCUGUCAGCCAAACCGAGAGGAAGACUGCAGCCCUGUCUCUUUAAGUAGUGACAUGCUAAUUGUACAACCGCAGAACAGAUAAGGAGCAGGGCUGGAGCCAUUUACUCGGGAGAAAUUGGGAGGAUCAGGGGUGACCAGGAGCUGUAGUUCCAGAGGGGGAUCAUGGCGCAUUUUUGGCCAUUCUCAGCUCGCGAUGUGCAGUGAAUCAAGCACCCCGCGCCCUCUCACACAGUGGGGCUCCCACAGUCAGGCAAGUAUCGCCUCUGCAGCUUCGUGGCGGCUAGGACUGCUAUCGCAGGACAGUGCACACAUCCCCGCUGCACAGCGAUCCCCUUAAUUGAGGGUUCAUCUCCCUUAGAGUGGAAUUCUCUCCCAUCUCCCUGCUCUCCAGGCAGGGCCUCCGAAGCUGCACUCCCGCAGGUCCCUGGUAGGUGUAAGUGAUUGUAGUGAACCUUGUGUGGGUGGAAUUGCUGAUGAGUUUACCAGGCUGGGGGCAUUCUACAGGCACACUGACAGAGGCUAGGAGCUGGUGGGCAUGACAGCCCACAGUGUACACUCAUACAGUACUGACUUCCACUGCUGCUACUGCUACUGCUGCUGCUGUUGCUUGGGGAAAAAAAAAACAGAUUUUCACAGACGGUUUCGCUCCAGGGAAAAACAGAGAGUGCAGUUUAUCAGUAUGUAAAGAGGCCAGUUCAGCGCUUGUCAGCAACUCCAUUAUCAGCUGGCUGGAUGGGCAUGGCGCUCAUUUGAGGUUUGUAGUUUUCAUUUGUGUUGAUGCAAAAUGAUGAGCAGAAUCGAGCCUAGAAAUGGCCCUGAUGGAAGUGGAGCGCUUGUAAGUUAUUCAGCGCAGCCUUGGGAGUCUUUUCAAAAGAUGACAUGCCUCUUCUGUGGGGUGAAAGGGGUUAAAGGGUUGUGGAGACUUGUGGCAUGCAAGAAUACUGAUGUUUUUUCUCUCCAGUCUGGCUCCACUCAAUGAUUAGAGGAAGCCGUCGCAAUGAUGUUAACAGUCUGAAGUUUAACAUCCGUCAUUCUCCGAUUUCCUAUUUAAACAUUAAGCACUCUGCUCUAAGUACAUUAUUGCCUCCUUUUUUCGGAAACGUUAUGUAAAAUGUUUCUGAGGAGCGUUCACUCCUUUGCAGUCAUUUUUUUCCCUAUUGACCUCAGAUCUCUCCUAUAGUUUCUACAUGCUCAUCUGACUAAUUUCUCCUUUUGUAAUCUUGAUUAAGCUGCUCAGACUGCCUUCCUUUUCCUUGACAAAAAUAAAACAACCACAAUUGAAUUAAGUAAAAAAAAAAAUACAGCCCUACAUUUGUUCCAGCUCAGUAAUGGCCUUCCCCAACAAAGUGGAGCUCCCCAUCUAAUUGGAGAGUUAUGAGGCGGUGCUGUUUCCUGGAAUAAGGAAUGUGAAGGCGAUGUUGAACCAUCCUUCUACAGCUGGCAUGGAUGAUGAGCUCGAAAACAAAUACCAACAAGAAGAUAAACUGAAGACUUGGAUUCCAAACCCAAGGGGAAGAGCUGCUGUUGGUGUACGGCUCAAUGCGACAGGACACCUUUGUUUCACAGUGAGAG
This is a non-coding RNA of Lepisosteus oculatus (spotted gar), 1680 nucleotides long. NCBI's taxonomy places the organism in Eukaryota, Metazoa, Chordata, Actinopteri, Semionotiformes, Lepisosteidae. The record is from RefSeq and is a predicted model, not a curated record.